This 386-nucleotide long non-coding RNA is filed under the name Physcomitrium patens. RNAcentral describes it as "long non-coding RNA (PPAT_LNC003249)". The record is from RNAcentral. Lineage: Eukaryota; Viridiplantae; Streptophyta; Bryopsida; Funariales; Funariaceae.
UUAGGAUUUAAUUUAGGAUUUAGAAUUUGAUUAGAGUUUGAUUUAGGAUUGAAAUUUGGUUAGGAUUUGGUUUAGGGUUUAGGAUUUGAUUAAGGUUUGAUUUAGGGUUUAGAAUUUGGUUAGGAUUUGAUUUAAGAUUUAAGAUUUGAUUUAAGUUUUAAAGUUUGGUUAAGAUUCGAUUUAGGAUUAAGAUUUGUUUAAAAUUUGAGAUUUAAUUGGUUUUUGGCCUAAAAUUUGAAUGAAGUCCAAUAGGAUUUUAACUAGGAUUAAAUUAAGAUUGAAUUGAGAUCUAUUUGAGAUAUAUUUGUAAUCAUUCUAAUAUUUCUUUAAGAUUUUUUAUUAUUUCUUUGUAAUUCCUUUGAGGUUUCUUUGAAUUUGAUUAAAAU